GCUCAGAUUGAACGCUGGCGGCAGGCUUAACACAUGCAAGUCGAACGAUGAUUAUCUAGCUUGCUAGAUAUGAUUAGUGGCGGACGGGUGAGUAACAUUUAGGAAUCUGCCUAGUAGUGGGGGAUAGCUCGGGGAAACUCGAAUUAAUACCGCAUACGACCUACGGGUGAAAGGGGGCGCAAGCUCUUGCUAUUAGAUGAGCCUAAAUCAGAUUAGCUAGUUGGUGGGGUAAAGGCCCACCAAGGCGACGAUCUGUAACUGGUCUGAGAGGAUGAUCAGUCACACCGGAACUGAGACACGGUCCGGACUCCUACGGGAGGCAGCAGUGGGGAAUAUUGGACAAUGGGGGCAACCCUGAUCCAGCCAUGCCGCGUGUGUGAAGAAGGCCUUUUGGUUGUAAAGCACUUUAAGCAGGGAGGAGAGGCUAAUGGUUAAUACCCAUUAGAUUAGACGUUACCUGCAGAAUAAGCACCGGCUAACUCUGUGCCAGCAGCCGCGGUAAUACAGAGGGUGCGAGCGUUAAUCGGAAUUACUGGGCGUAAAGCGAGUGUAGGUGGCUCAUUAAGUCACAUGUGAAAUCCCCGGGCUUAACCUGGGAACUGCAUGUGAUACUGGUGGUGCUAGAAUAUGUGAGAGGGAAGUAGAAUUCCAGGUGUAGCGGUGAAAUGCGUAGAGAUCUGGAGGAAUACCGAUGGCGAAGGCAGCUUCCUGGCAUAAUAUUGACACUGAGAUUCGAAAGCGUGGGUAGCAAACAGGAUUAGAUACCCUGGUAGUCCACGCCGUAAACGAUGUCUACUAGCCGUUGGGGUCCUUGAGACUUUAGUGGCGCAGUUAACGCGAUAAGUAGACCGCCUGGGGAGUACGGCCGCAAGGUUAAAACUCAAAUGAAUUGACGGGGGCCCGCACAAGCGGUGGAGCAUGUGGUUUAAUUCGAUGCAACGCGAAGAACCUUACCUGGUCUUGACAUAGUGAGAAUCCUGCAGAGAUGCGGGAGUGCCUUCGGGAAUUCACAUACAGGUGCUGCAUGGCUGUCGUCAGCUCGUGUCGUGAGAUGUUGGGUUAAGUCCCGCAACGAGCGCAACCCUUUUCCUUAUUUGCCAGCGGGUUAAGCCGGGAACUUUAAGGAUACUGCCAGUGACAACUGGAUGAAGGCGGGGACGACGUCUAGUCAUCAUGGCCCUUACGACCAGGGCUACACACGUGCUACAUGGUAUGUACAGAGGGUUGCUACACAGCGAUGUGAUGCUAAUCUCAAAAGCCUAUCGUAGUCCGGAUUGGAGUCUGCAACUCGACUCCAUGAAGUCGGAAUCGCUAGUUAUCGCAGAUCUAAU
RNAcentral lists this ribosomal RNA (1331 nucleotides) under Moraxella sp. H13. Its description in RNAcentral is "bacterial SSU rRNA". It matches the Rfam family "Bacterial small subunit ribosomal RNA", at positions 22 to 1354 of the family's 1533-position model. The record is from RNAcentral. Lineage: Bacteria; Pseudomonadati; Pseudomonadota; Gammaproteobacteria; Moraxellales; Moraxellaceae.